RNAcentral lists this ribosomal RNA (774 nucleotides) under uncultured Neocallimastigales. RNAcentral describes it as "partial large subunit ribosomal RNA". It matches the Rfam family "Eukaryotic large subunit ribosomal RNA", at positions 24 to 614 of the family's 3401-position model. The record is from RNAcentral. Lineage: Eukaryota; Fungi; Neocallimastigomycota; Neocallimastigomycetes; Neocallimastigales.
UAUCUCUGUAGAGUCUGCAUAUCAAUAAGCGGAGGAAAAGAAACUAACUAGGAUUCCCUUAGUAACGGCGAGUGAAGCGGGAAGAGCUCAAAUUUGAAAUCUUCAAGGUUCUACCUUGACGAAUUGUAGUUUAAAGAAGUGUUUUCUGUUGGAGUUUUGGUAAAAGUUCUUUGGAAUAGGACAUCAUAGAGGGUGAGAAUCCCGUAUUUGACCAUUUCUUCCAGCUGUGUGAUACACUUUCAAAGAGUCGGAUUGUUUGGGAAUGCAGUCCAAAAUGGGUGGUAAAUUUCAUCUAAAGCUAAAUAUUGGCGAGAGACCGAUAGCGAACAAGUACCGUGAGGGAAAGAUGAAAAGAACUUUGAAAAGAGAGUUAAACAGUACGUGAAAUUGUCAAAAGGGAAGCGUUUGACACCAGUGUUGUUUUCUCGAAAAUCAAUUAAAAAUGGCCGGAUUUUGUGUUGUAUUGACUUUAUCAGCUUUCUGCACUUUUUUCUUGUCUUUUUUAAUGCACUUUUCGUUUAACAAGUCAACAUCAAUUUCUUUUGUUGUAAAAGAGUCAUUGGAAGGUGGCUUUCACUUCGGUGAAAGUGUUUAUAGCCUUUGACUUCUGCAAUCGGAGAGAUUGAGGUCUGCAGCGUAGAUCCUUCGGGGUUAGAUACAUUUGUGCUAAGUUAUAGUUUUUCAUAGACAACAUGUUGACUAUGAUUAAUCAUGUAGCUUACUCGCUUAUGCUAUUUUACCUACGCUUAGGAUGUUGAACGCGCACAGAGUCUC